Molecule: long non-coding RNA, 455 nt
Filed under: Carica papaya (papaya)
Lineage: Eukaryota; Viridiplantae; Streptophyta; Magnoliopsida; Brassicales; Caricaceae
Description: long non-coding RNA (CPAP_LNC000528)
Source: RNAcentral
AAAUAAUAAAGAAGAUGAAGAAAAUAGAGAAGUCGAAGAAGGUUUAAGAGAGGAACUUUAUUGAUUUUUUAUUUCAAUGAUUCCAAUUGAUGGAAGAGGGCAUAUUUAUAGGCCUAAAUACAAUAAAUAAAAAUGGUUUUCAUGGCGGAAUCAUGCUUGCUAGAAUCGUGCAGCCAGAAUCACGUGAUGAUGAUGAGAACGGCGUCGGAUGCUUGAUGAAUUGUGGAUGACAAAGGCAUCGGCUGUGGGAUGAGAUGAAUCCUGUUAGGGUUAGUCAACCCUAACUCCAGCUGGUUCUAGGUUUUCCCAAAUUUACCCUUUGGUGUGUUUAUUUUCCUUCUUGCGCUUCUUUCUGUAAUAAACCCUGAGGGGUUUUCUGACAAUAUUGUUAUUAGAGAGAAAUGCAAAGCUUUGUGAACACCAUUCUCCACAUCCUCAGCUUCUUUGCUUUAGAG